GAUGAACGCUGGCGGCGUGCCUAAUACAUGCAAGUCGAGCGAACAGACGAGGAGCUUGCUCCUCUGACGUUAGCGGCGGACGGGUGAGUAACACGUGGAUAACCUCCCUAUAAGACUGGGAUAACUUCGGGAAACCGGAGCUAAUACCGGAUAAUAUAUUGAACCGCAUGGUUCAAUAGUGAAAGACGGUUUUGCUGUCACUUAUAGAUGGAUCCGCGCCGCAUUAGCUAGUUGGUAAGGUAACGGCUUACCAAGGCGACGAUGCGUAGCCGACCUGAGAGGGUGAUCGGCCACACUGGAACUGAGACAAGGUCCAGACUCCUACGGGAGGCAGCAGUAGGGAAUCUUCCGCAAUGGGCGAAAGCCUGACGGAGCAACGCCGCGUGAGUGAUGAAGGUCUUCGGAUCGUAAAACGCUGUUAUUAGGGAAGAACAAAUGUGUAAGUAACUAUGAACGUCUUGACGGUACCUAAUCAGAAAGCCACGGCUAACUACGUG
RNAcentral lists this ribosomal RNA (497 nucleotides) under uncultured bacterium. RNAcentral's name for it is "partial 16S ribosomal RNA". It matches the Rfam family "Bacterial small subunit ribosomal RNA", at positions 28 to 507 of the family's 1533-position model. The record is from RNAcentral.